UACAGAGGUCUCAAGCGUUGCUCGGAAUCACUGGGCGUAAAGCGCACGUAGGCGGGUCGUUAAGUCGGGGGUGAAAUCCUGGAGCUCAACUCCAGGACUGCCUUUGAUACUGAAGAUCUUGAGUUCGGGAGAGGUGAGUGGAACUGCGAGUGUAGAGGUGAAAUUCGUAGAUAUUCGCAAGAACACCAGUGGCGAAGGCGGCUCACUGGCCCGAUACUGACGCUGAGGCACGAAAGCGUGGGGAGCAAACAGG
This 253-nucleotide ribosomal RNA is filed under the name uncultured bacterium. RNAcentral describes it as "partial 16S ribosomal RNA". It matches the Rfam family "Bacterial small subunit ribosomal RNA", at positions 524 to 776 of the family's 1533-position model. The record is from RNAcentral.